GCCACCGAAUACAUUAGCAUGGGAUAAUGGAAUAGGACCCUGUCCUCCUAUUUUCAGUUGGUUUUGGCAGCGCGAGGACUAGGGUAAUGAUUAAUAGGGAUAGUUGGGGGCAUUAAUAUUUAAUUGUCAGAGGUGAAAUUCUUGGAUUUAUGAAAGAUUAACUUCUGCGAAAGCAUCUGCCAAGGAUGUUUUCAUUAAUCAAGAACGAAAGUUAGGGGAUCGAAGACGAUCAGAUACCGUCGUAGUCUUAACCAUAAACGAUGCCGACCAGCGAUUAGGAGACGUUGAAUACAAAACACCACCAUCGGCGCGGUCGUCCUUGGCGCGUCCGUGUUCACGCACGGGCGCGCGGGGGCGGCUUAGCCCGGUGGCACCGGUGAAUGACUCCCCUAGCAGCUUGUGAGAA
Molecule: ribosomal RNA, 406 nt
Filed under: Acanthamoeba genotype T4
Lineage: Eukaryota; Discosea; Longamoebia; Acanthamoebidae
Description: SSU rRNA
Rfam family: Eukaryotic small subunit ribosomal RNA
Source: RNAcentral